Long non-coding RNA from Dicentrarchus labrax (European seabass), 499 nucleotides. RefSeq lists it as uncharacterized. The record is from RefSeq and is a predicted model, not a curated record. NCBI's taxonomy places the organism in Eukaryota, Metazoa, Chordata, Actinopteri, Moronidae. The transcript is spliced from 3 exons.
AGACUCUAUUACAGCUUCUUCUCUUGUCAUUUUGUUCAGGUACUUCACUGCAGUUUAUUUCCAUGCUCGAUCGCUCACUGUUUAUGUGUUUGUGUUACUGCCUAAUUGGACACUACCGCCCGGCGUCUCAGAUACCGCCCCUAUCAGCAGGAUGCAGGCGCUGGCUUCUAGCACCAAUUAGCUCCCAGCGAGACGCCUCUCGCACUCCUGACACUGCUGUUCCAGGAAGCUGCGAUACCGUCCAUAUUCCCCUGGACACUCAUCCUCCUACAAACAUAUCAAACAGCAAGCUGAGGCUUAUCCAGGCAUAAAGAUGUCACAGGUGAAAGAGGGUUUGUGUUUGUGUGCGAGCACAUAGAGAGCGAUCCAAUAUGGCUGCAGGGUGAUGGAGGACAACCAGCACUGCUCCUAGAUGCUGGAGAUGAUUGGACACUGUGGGGAACAGAUACCUGAUCAAUUAUUUCCCUCUCCUCUGAUGACCUUGAUGAAUUCAGUCUGA